This 514-nucleotide ribosomal RNA is filed under the name uncultured bacterium. Its description in RNAcentral is "bacterial SSU rRNA". It matches the Rfam family "Bacterial small subunit ribosomal RNA", at positions 8 to 523 of the family's 1533-position model. The record is from RNAcentral.
AGAGUUUGAUCCUGGCUCAGGAUGAACGCUAGCGGCAGGCUUAACACAUGCAAGUCGAGGGGUAGAGUUCUUCGGAAUUUGAGACCGGCGCACGGGUGCGUAACGCGUAUGCAAUCUGCCUUUUACAGAGGGAUAGCCCAGAGAAAUUUGGAUUAAUACCUCAUAGCAUAGCAGCUUCGCAUGAAGCCACUAUUAAAGUCACAACGGUAAAAGAUGAGCAUGCGUCCCAUUAGCUAGUUGGUAAGGUAACGGCUUACCAAGGCAACGAUGGGUAGGGGUCCUGAGAGGGAGAUCCCCCACACUGGUACUGAGACACGGACCAGACUCCUACGGGAGGCAGCAGUGAGGAAUAUUGGACAAUGGGCGCAAGCCUGAUCCAGCCAUGCCGCGNGCAGGAUGACGGUCCUAUGGAUUGUAAACUGCUUUUGUACGAGAAGAAACACUCCUAUGUAUAGGAGCUUGACGGUAUCGUAAGAAUAAGGAUCGGCUAACUCCGUGCCAGCCGCCGCGGUAA